This 847-nucleotide long non-coding RNA is filed under the name Nicotiana benthamiana. RNAcentral's name for it is "long non-coding RNA (NBEN_LNC006110)". The record is from RNAcentral. Lineage: Eukaryota; Viridiplantae; Streptophyta; Magnoliopsida; Solanales; Solanaceae.
CCGAGUAUAGAGAUUGUAAAAAAAUGCUCUAUACCCCAAACUCUUAGUCAUGUAGUUGGCUUUGGUGGUGGAGUAAAGACGAAGGGCUUGAAAAGUAGGACUUCCUCAAAGACUGAAGAACUUUGCUCAACUCAAGACUCAAGAGGAAAAUAACUGUUUGCAAGAUUGCUUGUCAAGCAUAGAAAAUGAGAUGAAUCAAUUAAGAAAAUUGGUAUUAGCUCAGCAUCCAAAUGUCCAACCUUCGACAUCACCUAUUUCCGGAGAAGAAUGUAUUACCAAGUUAGUAAUAGCUUACCCAAAACUUUAAUUUUUUUUAUUGCUUUUAGUUUUUGCGCUCUUAUGUAACAAUUAAUACUAUUCUAUUGUGCUCAAAUGCCAGUUCAUUUCAAUCAAUAUGAAAUGAUUAUUCGAUUCCUCAAUAUUUUUGCAUAAAAGAUACCCACAUCAUAUACUGAAUAUGGUAAGAAUGUGAUAUACUAGUUUAUAGAUAAGGAACGAGGCACCGCGUUACAGAUUCUAAAAGCUAAACUAGGAAGAGUACAUUUUAAAAAGUUUCUUCCAUUCUCUCCUUUCUGCUAUGUUGGUCCCUGUUAGUACGCCUCAUUACAAAUUUAUCUUUGCAAUAAGUGAUUAUAUUUCGGAAUUAAGUGGUGAUUAUAUUACUGUUUGAGUGAAGUUACAAAAAAUAAUUUAACCAAUUGUCCAAUUUAUUUUUCUAUAUUUUUUUCUAAUGAAAAUCUCUUGAUACUUUUUACAGGUGGAUACGGGAGUUUAAAAAGCAAGCUUGUGAGGACCUACAGCUGUUUGACUAUCAUUUUGCUAAUGUUGGACAAAAUUUAUAUUAUAG